GGUGAGUAACACGUGGAUAACCUACCUAUGAGACUGGGAUAACUUCGGGAAACCGGAGCUAAUACCGGAUAAUAUAUUGAACCGCAUGGUUCAAUAGUGAAAGACGGUUUUGCUGUCACUUAUAGAUGGAUCCGCGCCGCAUUAGCUAGUUGGUAAGGUAACGGCUUACCAAGGCAACGAUGCGUAGCCGACCUGAGAGGGUGAUCGGCCACACUGGAACUGAGACACGGUCCAG
Molecule: ribosomal RNA, 235 nt
Filed under: uncultured Staphylococcus sp.
Lineage: Bacteria; Bacillati; Bacillota; Bacilli; Caryophanales; Staphylococcaceae
Description: partial 16S ribosomal RNA
Rfam family: Bacterial small subunit ribosomal RNA
Source: RNAcentral